RNAcentral lists this ribosomal RNA (519 nucleotides) under uncultured eukaryote. RNAcentral describes it as "bacterial SSU rRNA". It matches the Rfam family "Eukaryotic small subunit ribosomal RNA", at positions 1162 to 1697 of the family's 1831-position model. The record is from RNAcentral.
GGGCACCACCAGGAGUGGAGCCUGCGGCUUAAUUUGACUCAACACGGGAAAACUCACCCGGCCCGGACACUAGGAGGAUUGACAGACUGCCUAGCUCUUUCUUGAUUCAGUGGGUGGUGGUGCAUGGCCGUUCUUAGUUGGUGGAGCGAUUUGUCUGGUUAAUUCCGAUAACGAACGAGACUCUAGCCUACUAGUUAGCCGGCCCGGUCGUUAUGCGCCCGGGCAGCGAGCUUCUUAGAGGGACAGACGGCGAGUAAGCCGUACGAGAUAGAACAAUAACAGGUCUGUGAUGCCCUUAGAUGUCCGGGGCUGCACGCGCGCUACACUGGAGGAAUCAGCGUGCUUGACCCAUUGCCGAAAGGCAUUGGUAAACCCUUGAAAAUCCUCCGUGAUCGGGAUCGGGAAUUGCAAUUAUUUCCCUUGAACGAGGAAUUCCCAGUAAGUGUGAGUCAUCAGCUCACGUUGAUUACGUCCCUGCCCUUUGUACACACCGCCCGUCGCUGCCCGGGACUGAGCCGU